UCCAUAGGUUAAUGAGGCGAACCGGGGGAACUGAAACAUCUAAGUACCCCGAGGAAAAGAAAUCAACCGAGAUUCCCCCAGUAGCGGCGAGCGAACGGGGAGGAGCCCAGAGCCUGAAUCAGCAUGUGUGUUAGUGGAAGCGUCUGGAAAGGCGCGCGAUACAGGGUGACAGCCCCGUACACAAAAGCGCAUGUGCUGUGAGCUCGAUGAGUAGGGCGGGACACGUGGUAUCCUGUCUGAAUAUGGGGGGACCAUCCUCCAAGGCUAAAUACUCCUGACUGACCGAUAGUGAACCAGUACCGUGAGGGAAAGGCGAAAAGAACCCCGGCGAGGGGAGUGAAAAAGAACCUGAAACCGUGUACGUACAAGCAGUGGGAGCCCCACCACCAAAGCAUUCUCUGG
RNAcentral lists this ribosomal RNA (402 nucleotides) under Salmonella enterica subsp. enterica serovar Typhimurium. Its description in RNAcentral is "partial 23S ribosomal RNA". It matches the Rfam family "Bacterial large subunit ribosomal RNA", at positions 163 to 591 of the family's 2925-position model. Lineage: Bacteria; Pseudomonadati; Pseudomonadota; Gammaproteobacteria; Enterobacterales; Enterobacteriaceae. The record is from RNAcentral.